AGGGAAUCUUCGGCAAUGGACGAAAGUCUGACCGAGCAACGCCGCGUGAGUGAAGAAGGUUUUCGGAUCGUAAAACUCUGUUGGUAGAGAAGAACGUUGGUGAGAGUGGAAAGCUCAUCAAGUGACGGUAACUACCCAGAAAGGGACGGCUAACUACGUGCCAGCAGCCGCGGUAAUACGUAGGUCCCGAGCGUUGUCCGGAUUUAUUGGGCGUAAAGCGAGCGCAGGUGGUUUAUUAAGUCUGGUGUAAAAGGCAGUGGCUCAACCAUUGUAUGCAUUGGAAACUGGUAGACUUGAGUGCAGGAGAGGAGAGUGGAAUUCCAUGUGUAGCGGUGAAAUGCGUAGAUAUAUGGAGGAACACCGGUGGCGAAAGCGGCUCUCUGGCCUGUAACUGACACUGAGGCUCGAAAGCGUGGGGAGCAAAC
RNAcentral lists this ribosomal RNA (425 nucleotides) under uncultured bacterium. Its description in RNAcentral is "bacterial SSU rRNA". It matches the Rfam family "Bacterial small subunit ribosomal RNA", at positions 356 to 773 of the family's 1533-position model. The record is from RNAcentral.